GUGAGCCAUCCUGUGGAGAGCUCCAAAUGAAGAGGAACUGAGGCCUCCCGCCCACAGUCAGCACCAAUGUGCCAACCAUAUGAGAACAGUGAGGCCACAGAGGAGUGGCAGAGGUAGAACUACAAGUCUGAUUUCCUGCCUGCUGGCUCAGCCCUUUUCCAGCUGCAUUAGGUUGACAUGACAGAAUCCCCCCAUCCCCUGCCAACACCACCACGCCCUGACAUAGCGCUCACCUUCAGCCUGACACAGCCCAGGGUCUCUCUACCACCUCCUGCACCCAGGAACGCCAGCCUCAGUGUACAGGGUUGAACCCCAGCCCCCAAGGGCCCACCUCGGGACACCCCCCCCCCAGAAAUGCCCUUGCUGGUUGAGUGGACCUUCAUAAUAGAUUGGCACGAGCUGGAGAAGAUACCCUUUGGCAUC
Prionailurus viverrinus (fishing cat) is the source of this 423-nucleotide long non-coding RNA. RefSeq lists it as uncharacterized. The transcript is spliced from 3 exons. The record is from RefSeq and is a predicted model, not a curated record. Lineage: Eukaryota; Metazoa; Chordata; Mammalia; Carnivora; Felidae.